CAAUAGCGUAUAUUAAAGUUGUUGCAGUUAAAAAGCUCGUAGUUGAACCUUGGGCAAGGCGCAUCAGGUCGACCGCAAGGUCGGACUUGGUCGCCGCGCCUCUGUUGGGGGACUCGCCGUUCUGCGGCGAGGUAACCCGCGUUACUGUGAAGAAAUUAGAGUGUUUAAAGCAGGCAAUCGCUUGAAUACAUCAGCAUGGAAUAACAAGAUAAGACAUUAGUCUUCUUGUUGGUUUGGAGAUCAGUGUAAUGAUUAAUAGGGCCAGUUGGGGGCAUUAGUAUUCAGUAGUCAGAGGUGAAAUUCUUGGAUUUACUGAAGACUAACUAGUGCGAAAGCAUUUGCCAAGGAUGUUUUCAUUAA
This 360-nucleotide ribosomal RNA is filed under the name uncultured eukaryote. RNAcentral's name for it is "partial 18S ribosomal RNA". It matches the Rfam family "Eukaryotic small subunit ribosomal RNA", at positions 592 to 976 of the family's 1831-position model. The record is from RNAcentral.